ACUCACAGAAUCUCAAGACUGGGAGCACAUGGUAAUGCUAAACAGCAAAAAUUUGCUAAUGGCAAUUCAACCUUUUAUUUUUCAGGUGUCCUAAAAAGUAAAGAAGUGAAUGCUCUCUUACACCAUCCACUUCAAAAGCACCUCAACCAUUCUGUCUUCCAGAAAUCAACAAGCAUGUUAAUGCAGGCAACACGUAUUUUUCAAGAAGAGAUUUGACAAAAUUUUCAAUCAAGCAUCUUAAGGAAACUGCUCCCAUAGGACAAAAGAGAAAUACCUCCUGUAACUGAAGGAAGAAGAACAGAAGUUGUUCUGCAUGCUGCAGACAUUACACUUCCAUGGGUACUGAGGUGUUCAACAUAGUCCUGAAGAAUCAGCAAAACACUGAAUCCCAGAACAGCCCAGGUUGGAAGGGACCGUGAAAUAUUGACCUGCCCAACCCUUUGUGGGAAAGGGAGACUGGAUGAGAUUAUUGAGCAUUCUCUCUAACUGUGUCUUGAAAACCUCCAGCAAUGGGGACACUACCACAUCUCUGGGUCACACCUUGUCCUCCUUGUGUAUGGCUUGCAGGACAGGACUAAGCAGGGAAAGCUUCCUAAUAUCAAAUCCUGGGAGUAGAGGUAAGUAAAGGAACAUGACAAACAGUUCUUCCAACACCCAAAAGCCAAAUUUUCACCUUAGCAUCCCUCUUCCCCUUGAAGCUCUCAAGAUCAAUUUUGUCUUAGGUAUAGGGAUUUGAUAACCAUUAUGAAACUUUAUCUAGUUUUCUUGUGUCUCUUUAUCAAUUCAGUUAAACUGAACAUCACCUUUGCA
Passer domesticus (house sparrow) is the source of this 810-nucleotide long non-coding RNA. RefSeq lists it as uncharacterized. The record is from RefSeq and is a predicted model, not a curated record. The transcript is spliced from 4 exons. Lineage: Eukaryota; Metazoa; Chordata; Aves; Passeriformes; Passeridae.